This 271-nucleotide ribosomal RNA is filed under the name uncultured Candidatus Sumerlaeota bacterium. RNAcentral's name for it is "partial 16S ribosomal RNA". It matches the Rfam family "Bacterial small subunit ribosomal RNA", at positions 1114 to 1382 of the family's 1533-position model. Lineage: Bacteria; Candidatus Sumerlaeota. The record is from RNAcentral.
GUUACCAGCGGUUCGGCCGGGCACGUCUAGGGAGACCGCCGGUGAUAAGGCCGGAGGAAGGUGGGACGACGUCAAGUCAUCAUGGCCCUUACGCCUGGGGCUACACACGUGCUACAAUGGUCGGUACAGUGGGUCGCAAUACCGCAAGGUGGAGCCAAUCCCAAAAAAGCCGGCCUCAGUUCGGAUUGGAGUCUGCAACUCGACUCCAUGAAGUUGGAAUCGCUAGUAAUCGCGUAUCAGCUACGACGCGGUGAAUACGUUCCCGGGCCUU